GCUGCAAACUGAGGUCCAGGUCAGAUUAGAUGAGCAUAUUAUCCUGUUUACUGCCUCAAACUGACUUGGAAGCUAAGGAAGGAAAGGGCUGGGAAAUGUGAGAGCUAGAGAGAGCCAGAAAUUUUCAAAUCAGCUAGAGGAAUGUGCUGACAUACUCUCUGGUUGGGGAAAGGAGAACUGUACUUCUCAAUGCAGGUUUUUGAAGCCUUCUUAUCGUGCACGUAUUUAAUCAAUAAAGGAUACACUUUGGAUAUCUAGACACUUCUAUGUUCCAUCUCCAGACUCCAUAGCAAGUCCAGUUUUCAACCAGAAAGAAAUCUCAGCCAAGUCAUGACAAGGAACAUAUCUUCCAUCCGAGGAAAAGAAAUCAAUAAGAGAUCAAUCAUGCUGAGAUCAAUAAGAGUAAAAGGGAGACCAAUGGGAGCCUAACCCUUCCUACUGCCAGCUCUCAUGGAAAAGAAGCUAAGAGCAAAUGCCUGGAUGUGACAUGCAUAUUCUCAGAGGGAAGAAA
Prionailurus viverrinus (fishing cat) is the source of this 511-nucleotide long non-coding RNA. RefSeq lists it as uncharacterized. The transcript is spliced from 3 exons. The record is from RefSeq and is a predicted model, not a curated record. Lineage: Eukaryota; Metazoa; Chordata; Mammalia; Carnivora; Felidae.